RNAcentral lists this ribosomal RNA (473 nucleotides) under Stenomorpha furcata. Its description in RNAcentral is "eukaryotic LSU rRNA". Lineage: Eukaryota; Metazoa; Arthropoda; Insecta; Coleoptera; Tenebrionidae. The record is from RNAcentral.
AGAGUACGUGAAACCGUUCAGGGGUAAACCUGAGAAACCCGAAAGGUCGAAAGGGGAGAUUCAGCGUGUCUCGAUUGCGGCGCUGGAUGCUCGUGCGACGGAAGACGUACGCGUCAUCCGCACCGUUCUGUUCUCCGAACCGUGGUCGAACGCGUGCACUUCUCCCCCUGUAGGACGUCGCGAUCCGUUGGGUGCCGGUCUAAGGCCCGCAGUGGAGCCCGUUCGGACGGUUCGCCGUUCCGGACGAACCUGCGGUGUUUCCCGGUCGGCUCGCUCGACGGUAUACAGAUGGCGCGGGGCCGCUACACAUUAGUUAGCGUCCGACCGGCGGCAAGCGCGCUCGUCGUGACGGUGAUCGGACCUGGUGCCGGUCCUGUCCCCGAGUGGCUGUUCGCUGCCGUGUUCUCGGACAGACCUCGUCGAAACGCCGAUCUGCGACGCUAUAGCUUUGGGUACUUUCAGGACCCGUCUUG